ACCUGGCUGGCUCAGUUGGUAGAGUAUGUGACUUGAUCUCAGAGUCAUGAGUUUAAGCCCCAUGUUAGGCA
Molecule: transfer RNA, 71 nt
Filed under: Ailuropoda melanoleuca (giant panda)
Lineage: Eukaryota; Metazoa; Chordata; Mammalia; Carnivora; Ursidae
Rfam family: tRNA
About the family: Transfer RNA (tRNA) molecules are approximately 80 nucleotides in length. Their secondary structure includes four short double-helical elements and three loops (D, anti-codon, and T loops). Further hydrogen bonds mediate the characteristic L-shaped molecular structure. tRNAs have two regions of fundamental functional importance: the anti-codon, which is responsible for specific mRNA codon recognition, and the 3' end, to which the tRNAs corresponding amino acid is attached (by aminoacyl-tRNA synthetases). tRNAs cope with the degeneracy of the genetic code in two manners: having more than one tRNA (with a specific anti-codon) for a particular amino acid; and 'wobble' base-pairing, i.e. permitting non-standard base-pairing at the 3rd anti-codon position.
Source: Rfam by way of RNAcentral